GCCGAAAUAGCUCAGAUGGGAGAGCGUCAGACUGAAGAUCUGAAGGUCCCUGGUUCAAUCGCGGGCUUCGGCA
RNAcentral lists this transfer RNA (73 nucleotides) under Paramuricea clavata. It matches the Rfam family "tRNA". From Rfam's summary of the family: Transfer RNA (tRNA) molecules are approximately 80 nucleotides in length. Their secondary structure includes four short double-helical elements and three loops (D, anti-codon, and T loops). Further hydrogen bonds mediate the characteristic L-shaped molecular structure. tRNAs have two regions of fundamental functional importance: the anti-codon, which is responsible for specific mRNA codon recognition, and the 3' end, to which the tRNAs corresponding amino acid is attached (by aminoacyl-tRNA synthetases). tRNAs cope with the degeneracy of the genetic code in two manners: having more than one tRNA (with a specific anti-codon) for a particular amino acid; and 'wobble' base-pairing, i.e. permitting non-standard base-pairing at the 3rd anti-codon position. The record is from Rfam by way of RNAcentral. Lineage: Eukaryota; Metazoa; Cnidaria; Anthozoa; Malacalcyonacea; Plexauridae.